Non-coding RNA from Salmo salar (Atlantic salmon), 4895 nucleotides. The record is from RefSeq and is a predicted model, not a curated record. Lineage: Eukaryota; Metazoa; Chordata; Actinopteri; Salmoniformes; Salmonidae.
ACACAACAUUAUCAACCUAUACAACUAAACACAACAUUACCAACCUGCUACAACAUUACCAACCUGCUACAAGUAAACACAACAUUACCAACCUGCACAACUAAACACAACAUUACCAACAUGCUACAACAUUAUCAACCUGCACAACUAAACACAACAUUAUCAACCUGCUACAACUAAACACAACAUUACUAACCUGCUACAACAUUAUCAACCUGCACAACUAAACACAACAUUAACAACCUGCACAACUAAACACAACAUUAUUACUGCUACAACUAAACACAACAUUAUCAACCUGCUACAACAUUACCAACCUGCUACAACUCAACACAACAUUACCAACCUGCACAACUCAACACAACAUUACCAACCUGCACAACUAAACACAACAUUACCAACCUGCUACAACUCAACACAACAUUACCAACCUGCUACAACUAAACACAACAUUACCAACCUGCUACAACUAAACACAACAUUAUCAACCUGCUACAACUCAACACAACAUUACCAACCUGCUACAACUCAACACAACAUUACCAACCUGCUACAACUAAACACAACAUUACCAACCUGCUACAACUCAACACAACAUUACCAACAUGCUACAACUCAACACAACAUUACCAACCUGCUACAACAUUAUCAACCUAUACAACUAAACACAACAUUACCAACCUGCUACAACAUUACCAACCUGCUACAACUAAACACAUCAUUACCAACCUGCUACAACUCAACACAACAUUACCAACAUGCUACAACAUUAUCAACCUGCACAACUAAACACAACAUUAUCAACCUGCUACAACUAAACACAACAUUACUAACCUGCUACAACAUUAUCAACCUGCACAACUAAACACAACAUUAACAACCUGCACAACUAAACACAACAUUAUUACUGCUACAACUAAACACAACAUUAUCAACCUGCUACAACAUUACCAACCUGCUACAACUCAACACAACAUUACCAACCUGCACAACUCAACACAACAUUACCAACCUGCACAACUAAACACAACAUUACCAACCUGCUACAACAUUAUCAACCUGCUACAACUCAACACAACAUUACCAACCUGCUACAACUAAAUACAACAUUAUCAACCUAUACAACUAAACACGACAUUAUCAACCUGCUACAACUAAAUACAACAUUACUAACCUGCUACAACAUUACCAACCUGCACAACUAAACACAACAUUACCAACCUGCUACAACAUUAUCAACCUGCACAAUUAAACACAACAUUACCAACCUGCACAACUAAACACGACAUUACCAACCUGCUACAACUCAACACAACAUUACCAACCUGCUACAACUAAACACAACAUUACCAACCUGCUACAACUCAACACAACAUUAUCAACCUAUACAACUAAACACAACAUUAUCAACCUGCUACAACUAAACACAACAUUACCAACCUGCUACAACUCAACACAACAUUACCAACCUGCUACAACUCAACACAACAUUACCAACCUGCUACAACAUUACCAACCUGCUACAACUCAACACAACAUUAUCAACCUGCUACAACAUUAUCAACCUAUACAACUAAACACAACAUUACCAACCUGCUACAACAUUACCAACCUGCUACAACUAAACACAACAUUACCAACCUGCUACAACUAAACACAACAUUACCAACCUGCUACAACAUUACCAACCUGCUACAACUAAACACAACAUUAUCAACCUGCUACAACUCAACACAACAUUACCAACCUGCUACAACAUUAUCAACCUGCUACAACUCAACACAACAUUACCAACCUGCUACAACUAAAUACAACAUUAUCAACCUAUACAACUAAACACGACAUUAUCAACCUGCUACAACUAAAUACAACAUUACUAACCUGCUACAACAUUACCAACCUGCUACAAGUAAACACAACAUUACCAACCUGCUACAAUUAAACACAACAUUACCAACCUGCACAACUAAACACAACAUUACCAACCUGCUACAACUCAACACAACAUUACCAACCUGCUACAACUCAACACAACAUUACCAACCUGCUACAACUCAACACAACAUUACCAACCUGCUACAACUAAAUACAACAUUAUCAACCUGCUACAACAUUAUCAACCUGUACAACUAAACACAACAUUACCGACCUGCUACAACUCAACACAACAUUACCGACCUGCUACAACUCAACACAACAUUACCAACCUGCUACAACUCAACACAACAUUACCAACCUGCUACAACUAAAUACAACAUUAUCAACCUGCUACAACAUUAUCAACCUGUACAACUAAACACAACAUUAUCGACCUGCUACAACUAAACACAACAUUAUCGACCUGCUACACAGAGAGGAACCAAGCAUAAAUGUCUUUUUCCAUUGAUUGAAAAUAGCUGUCACUGCAGGGGGAUGUUUGUAGCCAUCUUUUCAUUUUAUUUUCUCCUUCAUGUGGGAACAUCUAUAAUAUUAGACCCAUCUCUUUAUUCUCUUGAAUGACCUGUACAGACCAGGGUCUGUACCGACCCCGAGCUGGACUGAGGAGGUUUUAUACAGACCAGGGUCUGUAUCGACCCAGAGCUGGACUGAGGAGGUUUUAUACAGACCAGGGUCUGUAUCGACCCAGAGCUGGACUGAGGGGUUUUAUACAGACCAGGGUCUGUACCGACCCAGAGCUGGACUGAGGAGGUUUUAUACAGACCAGGGUCUGUAUCGACCCCGAGCUGGACUGAGGAGGUUUUAUACAGACCAGGGUCUGUACCGACCCAGAGCUGGACUGAGGAGGUUUUAUACAGACCAGGGUCUGUGAUCAACCAAGAUGGACUGAGGAGGUUUUAUACAGACCAGGAUCUGUACCGACCCCGAGCUGGACUGAGGAGGUUUUAUACAGACCAGGGUCUGUACCGACCCCGAGCUGGACUGAGGAGGUUUUAUACAGACCAGGGUCUGUACCGACCCCGAGCUGGACUGAGGAGGUUUUAUACAGACCAGGGUCUGUACCGACCCCGAGCUGGACUGAGGAGGUUUUAUACAGACCAGGGUCUGUACUGAGCUGGACUGAGGAGGUUUUAUACAGACCAGGGUCUGUACCGACCCCGAGCUGGACUGAGGAGGUUUUAUACAGACCAGGGUCUGUGAUCAACCAAGAUGGACUGAGGAGGUUUUAUACAGACCAGGAUCUGUACCGACCCAGAACUGAACUGAGGAGGUUUUAUACAGACCAGGGUCUGUACCGACCCAGAGCUGGACUGAGGAGGUUUUAUACAGACCAGGGUCUGUACCGACCCAGAGCUGGACUGAGGAGGUUUUAUACAGACCAGGGUCUGUGAUCAACCAAGAUGGACUGAGGAGGUUUUAUACAGACCAGGGUCUGUACCGACCCAGAACUGGACUGAGGAGGUUUUAUACAGACCAGGGUCUGUACCGACCCCGAGCUGCACUGAGGAGGUUUUAUACAGACCAGGGUCUGUACCGACCCCGAGCUGGACUGAGGAGGUUUUAUACAGACCAGGGUCUGUACCGAGCUGGACUGAGGAGGUUUUAUACAGACCAGGGUCUGUAUCAACCCCGAGCUGGACUGAGGAGGUUUUAUACAGACCAGGGUCUGUACCGACCCCGAGCUGGACUGAGGAGGUUUUAUACAGACCAGGGUCUGUAUCGACCCAGAGCUGGACUGAGGGGUUUUAUACAGACCAGGGUCUGUACCGAGCUGGACUGAGGAGGUUUUAUACAGACCAGGAUCUGUACCGACCCAGAACUGGACUGAGGAGGUUUUAUACAGACCAGGGUCUGUAUCGACCCAGAGCUGGACUGAGGAGGUUUUAUACAGACCAGGGUCUGUACCGACCCAGAACUGGACUGAGGAGGUUUUAUACAGACCAGGGUCUGUACCGACCCAGAGCUGGACUGAGGAGGUUUUAUACAGACCAGGGUCUGUGAUCAACCAAGAUGGACUGAGGAGGUUUUAUACAGACCAGGGUCUGUAUCGACCCAGAGCUGGACUGAGGGGUUUUAUACAGACCAGGGUCUGUACCGAGCUGGACUGAGGAGGUUUUAUACAGACCAGGAUCUGUACCGACCCAGAACUGGACUGAGGAGGUUUUAUACAGACCAGGGUCUGUAUCGACCCAGAGCUGGACUGAGGAGGUUUUAUACAGACCAGGGUCUGUACCGACCCAGAACUGGACUGAGGAGGUUUUAUACAGACCAGGGUCUGUACCGACCCAGAGCUGGACUGAGGAGGUUUUAUACAGACCAGGGUCUGUGAUCAACCAAGAUGGACUGAGGAGGUUUUAUACAGACCAGGAUCUGUACCGAGCUGGACUGAGGAGGUUUUAUACAGACCAGGGUCUGUAUCGACCCAGAGCUGGACUGAGGGGUUUUAUACAGACCAGGGUCUGUACCGACCCAGAGCUGGACUGAGGAGGUUUUAUACAGACCAGGGUCUGUAUCGACCCCGAGCUGGACUGAGGAGGAUUUAUACAGACCAGGGUCUGUACCGAGCUGGACUGAGGGGUUUUAUACAGACCAGGGUCUGUACCGAGCUGGACUGAGGAGGUUUUAUACAGACCAGGGUCUGUACCGACCCAGAGCUGGACUGAGGAGGUUUUAUACAGACCAGGGUGUGUACCGAGCUGGACUGAGGAGGUUUUAUACAGACCAGGGUCUGUAUCAACCCCGAGCUGGACUGAGGAGGUUUGAUACAGACCAGGGUCUGUACCGACCCAGAGCUGGACUGAGGAGGUUCUAUACCUGGUCUGUGUUCAACCAAGAUGGAAGAGGAACGACUCAAACAUCCGAAUCUUAGUGCCAAGGUUACCGUGGAAACAGAGGAGGGGAACUGAUUUGUCUAAGUAACUAAUAUUAAAACAUUAAAAAAAUAAGUGUUAUGUAAA